Molecule: long non-coding RNA, 203 nt
Filed under: Homo sapiens (human)
Lineage: Eukaryota; Metazoa; Chordata; Mammalia; Primates; Hominidae
Description: HSALNT0059452
Source: RNAcentral
UGCUAUAUAAGCAAAUACUGGUGAUUUGGCGACUGUAGCAGACACUUGUGUAUACUGAACUCAGCGCUGAAGUGGAGAAGAUGCUGGGAUCCAGACACUGGUCAUGGCUGUACAGACCCAAUUUCCACAGGCACAGACACAGCGGUUACAGUCCACCUCGGUCUCAGCUCCAUCUGCAUACGUUUCAUCCUCCAGGGCACACU